Molecule: ribosomal RNA, 624 nt
Filed under: Escherichia coli
Lineage: Bacteria; Pseudomonadati; Pseudomonadota; Gammaproteobacteria; Enterobacterales; Enterobacteriaceae
Description: partial 23S ribosomal RNA
Rfam family: Bacterial large subunit ribosomal RNA
Source: RNAcentral
GCUGUGAGGCAUGCUGGAGGUAUCAGAAGUGCGAAUGCUGACAUAAGUAACGAUAAAGCGGGUGAAAAGCCCGCUCGCCGGAAGACCAAGGGUUCCUGUCCAACGUUAAUCGGGGCAGGGUGAGUCGACCCCUAAGGCGAGGCCGAAAGGCGUAGUCGAUGGGAAACAGGUUAAUAUUCCUGUACUUGGUGUUACUGCGAAGGGGGGACGGAGAAGGCUAUGUUGGCCGGGCGACGGUUGUCCCGGUUUAAGCGUGUAGGCUGGUUUUCCAGGCAAAUCCGGAAAACCAAGGCUGAGGCGUGAUGACGAGGCACUACGGUGCUGAAGCGACAAAUGCCCUGCUUCCAGGAAAAGCCUCUAAGCAUCAGGUAACAUCAAAUCGUACCCCAAACCGACACAGGUGGUCAGGUAGAGAAUACCAAGGCGCUUGAGAGAACUCGGGUGAAGGAACUAGGCAAAAUGGUGCCGUAACUUCGGGAGAAGGCACGCUGAUAUGUAGGUGAAGCGACUUGCUCGUGGAGCUGAAAUCAGUCGAAGAUACCAGCUGGCUGCAACUGUUUAUUAAAAACACAGCACUGUGCAAACACGAAAGUGGACGUAUACGGUGUGACGCCUGCCCGGUGC